GGAGAGGUGGCAGAGUGGUCGAAUGUACCUGACUCGAAAUCAGGCGUACGUGCAAGCGUACCGAGGGUUCGAAUCCCUCCCUCUCCGCCA
RNAcentral lists this transfer RNA (90 nucleotides) under Comamonas testosteroni. Its description in RNAcentral is "tRNA-Ser". It matches the Rfam family "tRNA". From Rfam's summary of the family: Transfer RNA (tRNA) molecules are approximately 80 nucleotides in length. Their secondary structure includes four short double-helical elements and three loops (D, anti-codon, and T loops). Further hydrogen bonds mediate the characteristic L-shaped molecular structure. tRNAs have two regions of fundamental functional importance: the anti-codon, which is responsible for specific mRNA codon recognition, and the 3' end, to which the tRNAs corresponding amino acid is attached (by aminoacyl-tRNA synthetases). tRNAs cope with the degeneracy of the genetic code in two manners: having more than one tRNA (with a specific anti-codon) for a particular amino acid; and 'wobble' base-pairing, i.e. permitting non-standard base-pairing at the 3rd anti-codon position. The record is from RNAcentral. RNAcentral also lists the same sequence under 24 other names. Lineage: Bacteria; Pseudomonadati; Pseudomonadota; Betaproteobacteria; Burkholderiales; Comamonadaceae.